GACGAACGCUGGCGGCGUGCUUAACACAUGCAAGUCGAACGGAAAGGCCCUGCUUUUGUGGGGUGCUCGAGUGGCGAACGGGUGAGUAACACGUGAGUAACCUGCCCUUGACUUUGGGAUGACUUCAGGAAACUGGGGCUAAUACCGGAUAGGAGCUCCUGCUGCAUGGUGGGGGUUGGAACGUUUCGGCGGUUGGGGCUGGACGGGCGGGUUACCAGCUUGUUGGUGGGGGAGUGGCUUACCAAGGCUUUGACGGGUAGCCGGCCUGAGAGGGGGACCGGCGACAUUGGGACUGAGAUACGGACCAGACUCCAAUGGGAGGCAGCAGUGGGGAAUAUUGUACAAUGGGCGGGAGCCUGAUGCAGCAACGCCGCGUGCGGGAUGACGGCCUUGGGGUUGUAAACCGCUUUCGCCUGUGACGAAGCGUGAGUGACGGUAAUGGGUAAAGAAGCACCGACUAACUACGUG
Molecule: ribosomal RNA, 468 nt
Filed under: uncultured bacterium
Lineage: Bacteria
Description: partial 16S ribosomal RNA
Rfam family: Bacterial small subunit ribosomal RNA
Source: RNAcentral